RNAcentral lists this unclassified non-coding RNA (373 nucleotides) under soil metagenome. RNAcentral describes it as "partial contains 5.8S ribosomal RNA, internal transcribed spacer 2, and large subunit ribosomal RNA". The stretch from base 1 to 121 matches the Rfam family "5.8S ribosomal RNA", at positions 35 to 154 of the family's 154-position model. The record is from RNAcentral.
GAUGAAGAACGCAGCGAAAUGCGAUAAGUAAUGCGAAUUGCAGAAUUCCAGUGAGUCAUCGAAUCUUUGAACGCACAUUGCGCCCUUUGGUAUUCCGAAGGGCAUGCCUGUUCGAGCGUCAUUAUCACCCCUCAAGCCCUCGGCCUGGUGUUGGACGGUUUGGUGGAGGCCCCCUCGGGGGCUCCUGCCCCUCCCAAAGACAAUGACGGCGGCCUCGUUGGACCCCCGGUACACUGAGUUCUUCACGGGACACGUAUCGGACACAUGGGUUUACGGGACACGGUCUGCCUCCCCUCAGGGAGAAUCUUUCUAAGGUUGACCUCGGAUCAGGUAGGGAUACCCGCUGAACUUAAGCAUAUCAAUAAGCGGAGGA